Molecule: ribosomal RNA, 253 nt
Filed under: uncultured bacterium
Lineage: Bacteria
Description: partial 16S ribosomal RNA
Rfam family: Bacterial small subunit ribosomal RNA
Source: RNAcentral
UACGUAGGGGGCAAGCGUUGUCCGGAUUUAUUGGGCGUAAAGAGCGUGUAGGCGGCUUGGUAGGUCCGCUGUGAAAACUCGAGGCUCAACCUCGAGAUGUCGGCGGAAACCACUUGGCUAGAGUCCGGAAGAGGAGAGUGGAAUUCCUGGUGUAGCGGUGAAAUGCGCAGAUAUCAGGAGGAACACCAACGGCGAAGGCAGCUCUCUGGGACGUUACUGACGCUGAGACGCGAAAGCGUGAGGAGCAAACAGG